GGAGCUGUCAAUGAAAAGCUGUCAAGUCACCCAAGCAGCAUAUUUUUGGAGUUGUCAUUUAGAAGUCGACUGAAUCGGAAAUAUUUGCUAAGGCGGAUCCUAACAGCUUGCUUAUGCCUGUGCCUGCCACAACAGCCACAACGGCAACGGAUGAUGAAGGUUGGACGACCGGCGGCGGCAUGGGCGAUGAAGAGCGUAUGCGCUACAUUGAGAUGAAAAAGGCAGAGCUCAGCUACAGGGAGCUGGCCGUGGAGGUCAAGGCGCUUGAGGUGACAAAGGCAGAGCUGGAACUCGAACGUAUGCGUGUGUUGCAUGAACUUCGAGUCCAGCUGAUGGAAAUAGAGAUAAGCAUUCUAAUGAGGCAGGAGGAUCAAUUACAAUGAAAACGCAGCACAUAAAAUUAUUUUCAACGACGUGUACGUGCCAUUGUAACUUGAAAGAGAACGAAAUAAAUCUAAAAAUUGCCUUGCCCAAUA
Molecule: long non-coding RNA, 476 nt
Organism: Drosophila nasuta
Lineage: Eukaryota; Metazoa; Arthropoda; Insecta; Diptera; Drosophilidae
Exons: 3
Source: RefSeq, a predicted model, not a curated record